RNAcentral lists this ribosomal RNA (405 nucleotides) under uncultured prokaryote. RNAcentral's name for it is "bacterial SSU rRNA". It matches the Rfam family "Bacterial small subunit ribosomal RNA", at positions 355 to 774 of the family's 1533-position model. The record is from RNAcentral.
UGGGGAAUAUUGGGCAAUGGGCGCAAGCCUGACCCAGCAACGCCGCGUGAGGGAAGAAGGCUUUCGGGUUGUAAACCUCUGUCCUUCGUGACGAAAAAAAUGACGGUAGCCAAGGAGGCAGCCCCGGCUAACUACGUGCCAGCAGCCGCGGUAAUACGUAGGGGGCGAGCGUUGUCCGGAAUUACUGGGCGUACAGGGUGCGUAGGUGGCCUUUUAAGUUGGAUGUGAAAUACCCGGGCUUAACUUGGGGGGUGCAUCUAAUACUGGAGGGCUAGAGUGCAGGAGAGGGAAGCGGAAUUCCUAGUGUAGCGGUGAAAUGCGUAGAUAUUAGGAGGAACACCAGUGGCGAAGGCGGCUUUCUGGACUGUAACUGACACUGAGGCACGAAAGCGUGGGGAGCAAACA